UACGGGGGGGGCAAGCGUUGUUCGGAAUUACUGGGCGUAAAGGGCUCCGUAGGCGGCCAACUAAGUCCGCACGUGAAAUCCCAAGGCUUAACCUUGGAACUGCGUCGGAUACUGGAUGGCUUGAAUUCGGGAGAGGGAUGCAGAAUUCCAGGUGUAGCGGUGAAAUGCGUAGAUAUCUGGAGGAAUACCGGUGGCGCAAGGCGGCAUCCUGGACCGACCAUUGACGCUGAUGAGCGAAAGCUAGGGGAGCAAACGGG
RNAcentral lists this ribosomal RNA (257 nucleotides) under uncultured bacterium. RNAcentral describes it as "partial 16S ribosomal RNA". It matches the Rfam family "Bacterial small subunit ribosomal RNA", at positions 524 to 776 of the family's 1533-position model. The record is from RNAcentral.